AUCACCAAAGUUAAGCAAGGUUGAGCCUGGUCAGUACCUCGAUGGGUGACUAUUUGGGAAUACCAGGUGCUGUAAG
Non-coding RNA from Acanthosepion pharaonis, 76 nucleotides. The record is from the annotation of a GenBank genome assembly. Lineage: Eukaryota; Metazoa; Mollusca; Cephalopoda; Sepiida; Sepiidae.